AUUUCGACGAUACGCGAAGAACCUUCCCUGGCCUUGACAUAGCCAGAAGUUUGCAGAGACGCAGAUGUGCUAGUUUACUAGAACUGUCAUACAGGUGCUGCACGGCCUGUCGUCAGCUCGUGUCUUGAGAUGUUGGGUUAAGUCCCGCAACGAGCGCAACCCUCGUGUUUAGUUACUAACAGUUCGGCUGAGGACUCUAAACAGACUGCCUGGGUAACCAGGAGGAAGGUGAGGACGACGUCAAGUCAUCAUGGCCCUUACGGCCAGGGCUACACACGUGCUACAAUGGGGUAUACAAAGAGCUGCAAUACGGUGACGUGGAGCAAAUCUCAUAAAAUAUCUCCCAGUUCGGAUUGAAGUCUGCAACUCGACUUCAUGAAGUUGGAAUCGCUAGUAAUCGUAGAUCAGCAAUGCUACGGUGAAUACGUUCCCGGGUCUUGUACUCACCGCCCGUCACACCAUGGGAAUUGAAUUCAUUCGAAGCGGGGAUGCUAAAAUAGCUACCUUCCACAGUGGAUUUAGUAACUAGGGUGAAGUCGUAACAAGGUA
Molecule: ribosomal RNA, 549 nt
Filed under: uncultured bacterium
Lineage: Bacteria
Description: bacterial SSU rRNA
Rfam family: Bacterial small subunit ribosomal RNA
Source: RNAcentral